AGGAAGCAAGCCUAUUAGCCAUCCUGGUCACUUACCACCACCUUGGGGAGGGACAAACAACAUCAAAGGAAACUUAAAACCCUGUCUCCUCCCACUGCCCCAUACCUCCCCCAUGAUGUAAACACCACAAGGGGAGAGAUAUGAUCCUACUUACUCGGCAUCUGACUCACAGACACUUUGUUGAAGACCAUACACUUCUCAGGCACUGAGAAUUCUGGGGGCCAACUCACAGUUAUAAGAGCUGAGUGAGUGCUACGCUGAGAGGAACCUACAUCUUUUGUUGGAGAUUGAGUUCCACUCGACAUAAGCCACUCUUUGUAAUUACACUCCAUUGCCGUUUCAUGGUUUAGCCAAGGACAGGUGUCACAAUUUUAACCAAUAGGAUUAAGGAGAAACUUGUUUUAAGGCUUCUGAGGAAAAAAAGAAAUCCCUGACUUUUAAAUAGGGAUAUCAAUUAAGGACCACCUUCUCUUCCAUUACUGCACAACGUGUGAGAAUGUGUUAUUUGGAACAAAUGCAGCUAUGUCAACACCAUGGGUGACAAGCCUGAAGACAAGAGUCAACAUGCUGAGGAUGGCAACAUAAAAAGAUGUGACAAUCCAAGGUCUGAUCCAACUGAAUGAGUAAAUUAAGCACCCUGUAACAGCCCAUUUCAGAGUUCUUCUAAAGUGAAUUAUAAAAAUCCCCU
Molecule: long non-coding RNA, 688 nt
Organism: Tupaia belangeri chinensis (Chinese tree shrew)
Lineage: Eukaryota; Metazoa; Chordata; Mammalia; Scandentia; Tupaiidae
Exons: 4
Source: RefSeq, a predicted model, not a curated record